Long non-coding RNA from Xiphophorus hellerii (green swordtail), 1091 nucleotides. RefSeq lists it as uncharacterized. Lineage: Eukaryota; Metazoa; Chordata; Actinopteri; Cyprinodontiformes; Poeciliidae. The record is from RefSeq and is a predicted model, not a curated record. The transcript is spliced from 2 exons.
AGCCCCUUAUCAGGAAGAGCUGAACCUCCAUCAGUGUUGCCAGGGUUCAUCGUUGCUAACUUGUGGCGGUCAUAAAGAUUUCGAAGAAAAUAAACAGAGUCUGGAACAAUACAAGAGAUGAAUGAAGGCCUGCAGCCAACCUCAUGUCCAGGUGAAUGAAACUGUGACCUACAGCAUCUACUACGUUUGUCUGCACAAAGGAUAGUAAACAUGUCAUUUUUUGUCACGACGCUGUUUGAUAGUCAAAUCAAAGGUCAAUAAGUGAAGGUAGAUUUUCUUGACUUUGUAUACUAAUGUUUAUUUUUAGGCAUUUUCCUGAAGGCAGAUUUUCACAAGCUUGUAUUAUUUAAGUCAUUACUCACCUGCUCUUGCAUGUACAAAAUGCGUCCAACACAGUUUUCACACUUGCAUCCAAUGAGAGUUUGGGCCCCUCAUUCUUCCUGUAGUUGAGAAAGACUUGGGCUUUAACGCUGAUGUUUCCCGCAAAUAACCUUACAGACCUGAUGUCUGACUCUUUAGAGAGUUUUCUGGCCUGUCCUCUUUGCCUCAUUGUUUGCUGAUAAAGCAAACAUGUCUUCAAAAAUGUCUUGGGCAAUGCAUGGAGUUGUUCUUCUUCUUGUUGCUUUUUAUUGCUACUAAAAGUUGGCAAAAAAAAACUUUUAGUAGCAUUACCACCACCUACUGGUAUGGAGUGUGGUUCUUGAACUAAUUCAUAUUAUUUAAAUGUAUAUACAAGGCAUUGAGUUUCACUACUUCUGACAUUUUCAGACUGUUUGUUUGUAGGAGGUUUGAUCUACUUCCGCAUGAAGGCGGAACCGGCGCCAUGUUAGUUGGAAACAGAAACUAGAAAUUUGUAAUUUAGAACUCCUGCUGGACAGAGAUGGAAUUACACAUCAUCUUAAGGACAAAAACAAAAUCUGUAAGAAGGCCAUUCGUUUCUCUUUCAUUCUUUAUUACAAGCAGAAUGACAAUACAGUGCUUUGUCCUCAUUUGCUACAGACAGGCUGGCAAAAAGUCAACAUGUGAACUUUUAAAAUCUUUAUCCAAAAACAAAACAAAAAACAAGUAAUUUGUCAAAAACUGUUUAGUAA